The sequence is a transfer RNA, 108 nucleotides long. It matches the Rfam family "tRNA". From Rfam's summary of the family: Transfer RNA (tRNA) molecules are approximately 80 nucleotides in length. Their secondary structure includes four short double-helical elements and three loops (D, anti-codon, and T loops). Further hydrogen bonds mediate the characteristic L-shaped molecular structure. tRNAs have two regions of fundamental functional importance: the anti-codon, which is responsible for specific mRNA codon recognition, and the 3' end, to which the tRNAs corresponding amino acid is attached (by aminoacyl-tRNA synthetases). tRNAs cope with the degeneracy of the genetic code in two manners: having more than one tRNA (with a specific anti-codon) for a particular amino acid; and 'wobble' base-pairing, i.e. permitting non-standard base-pairing at the 3rd anti-codon position. The record is from Rfam.
GGGCCCUUAGCUCAGUCUGGUUAGAGCGCUCGGCUCAUAACGAGGUCGGACACCGGUGCGAUCGCGUGAGACACCGAGUGGUCGAUGGUUCGAAUCCGUCAGGGCCCA